UACGGAGGAUCCAAGCGUUAUCCGGAAUCAUUGGGUUUAAAGGGUCCGUAGGCGGUUUAAUAAGUCAGUGGUGAAAGCCCAUCGCUCAACGAUGGAACGGCCAUUGAUACUGUUAAACUUGAAUUACUAUGAAGUAACUAGAAUAUGUAGUGUAGCGGUGAAAUGCUUAGAUAUUACAUGGAAUACCAAUUGCGAAGGCAGGUUACUAAUAGUAUAUUGACGCUGAUGGACGAAAGCGUGGGGAGCGAACAGG
Molecule: ribosomal RNA, 253 nt
Filed under: uncultured bacterium
Lineage: Bacteria
Description: partial 16S ribosomal RNA
Rfam family: Bacterial small subunit ribosomal RNA
Source: RNAcentral